RNAcentral lists this ribosomal RNA (1197 nucleotides) under uncultured organism. Its description in RNAcentral is "bacterial SSU rRNA". It matches the Rfam family "Bacterial small subunit ribosomal RNA", at positions 199 to 1426 of the family's 1533-position model. The record is from RNAcentral.
GAGUAAAGAUUUCGGUCGCUUUGGGAGGAGCUCGCUUACUAUCAGCUUGUUGGUAGGGUAAUGGCCUACCAAGGCUAUGACGGUUAGGGGGUGUGAGAGCAUGACCCCCAGCAUUGGCACUGAAACACUGGCCAAACACCUACGGGUGGCUGCAGUCGAGAAUCUUCCACAAUGGGGGAAACCCUGAUGGAGCGAUGCUGCGUGCGGGAUGAAGGCCUUCGGGUUGUAAACCGCUUUUGUAGGGGACGAAAUUUUUGACGGUACCCUUUCGAAUAAGAGGUUGCUAACUCUGUGCCAGCAGCAGCGGUAAUACAGAGACCUCAAGCGUUAUCCGGAUUUACUGGGCGUAAAGCGUCUGUAGGGGGUUUAUUAAGUUCCAAGUAAAAUUUCAAGGCUCAACUUUGAAUUCGCUUGGAAAACUAAUAAACUGGAGUCUAGCAGAGGUGCAUGGAACUUGUGGUGUAGGAGUGAAAUCCGUUGAUAUCACAAGGAACACCAAAGGCGAAAGCAUUGCACUGGGCUAGCACUGACCCUGAGAGACGAAAGCGUGGGGAGCAAAACGGAUUAGAUACCCGUGUAGUCCACGCCCUAAACGAUGAAUGCUAAAUGUUCGGGGAUUCGACCCCCUGGGUGUUACAGCUAACGCGUUAAGCAUUCCGCCUGGGAAGUACGGCCGCAAGGCUAAAACUCAAAGGAAUAGACGGGGAUCCGCACAAGCGGUGGAGCGUCUGGUUUAAUUCGACAGUAAGCGUGGUACCUCACCAGGGUUUGACAUCCCUUGACAGCCUUGGAAACAAGGUUUCCUUCGGGCAAGGUGACAGGUGCUGCAUGGUCGUCGUCAGUUCGUGCCGUGAGGUGUUCCGUUAAGUCGGGAAACGAACGAAACCCCUAUUGCAUGUUACAAUUUCUCAUGCAAGACUGCCCGGAUAUACUGGGAGGAAGGUGGGGAUGACGUCAGAUCUGCAUGGUCCUUAUACCCUGGGCGACACAGGCGCUACAAUGGCAGAGACAAAGGGUUGCAAAACCGCAAGGUGAAGCUAAUCCCAAAAACUUUGUCUAAGUUCGGAUUGAAGGCUGCAAUUCGCCUUCAUGAAGCUGGAAUCGCUAGUAAUCGUGAAUCAGCCACGUCACGGUGAAUAUGUUCCCGGAUCUUGUACUCACCGCCCGUCACACCAAGAGAGUUGGUAGCUCCCGAAG